UCAGAUACAUUCUCAACGAUCCUCUCCAAUUUGACUUUGCCAAAUCUUGUAGUAUAACUUCAUAUAAACAAUCAAGAGGCUGAUCUUAUAACUAAGAGAAUUGUGCUUGUGAAAUAAAAGAGUUCUCACUACAUAAAGUCUUUGGGAGACAUUAAAAGGGGGAUAUGACUAGAAAAUAGAAAGGAAAGAAAGCUUAUAUAACAACAACGCCAAUAAUAAGAACAGUAAUA
Molecule: unclassified non-coding RNA, 230 nt
Filed under: Hevea brasiliensis (rubber tree)
Lineage: Eukaryota; Viridiplantae; Streptophyta; Magnoliopsida; Malpighiales; Euphorbiaceae
Source: RNAcentral